Molecule: ribosomal RNA, 412 nt
Filed under: uncultured Lachnospiraceae bacterium
Lineage: Bacteria; Bacillati; Bacillota; Clostridia; Lachnospirales; Lachnospiraceae
Description: bacterial SSU rRNA
Rfam family: Bacterial small subunit ribosomal RNA
Source: RNAcentral
UGGGGAAUAUUGCACAAUGGGCGAAAGCCUGAUGCAGCGACGCCGCGUGAACGAAGAAGUAUUUCGGUAUGUAAAGCUCUAUCAGCAGGGAAGAAGAAAUGACGGUACCUGACUAAGAAGCACCGGCUAAAUACGUGCCAGCAGCCGCGGUAAUACGUAUGGUGCAAGCGUUAUCCGGAUUUACUGGGUGUAAAGGGAGCGUAGGCGGUUUUAUAAGUCUGAUGUGAAAGCCCGGGGCUCAACCCCGGGAUUGCAUUGGAAACUGUAGAACUAGAGUGUCGGAGGGGUAAGUGGAAUUCCUAGUGUAGCGGUGAAAUGCGUAGAUAUUAGGAGGAACACCAGUGGCGAAGGCGGCUUACUGGACGAUUACUGACGCUGAGGCUCGAAAGCGUGGGGAGCAAACAGGAUUAGA